UAUCGUUCUCACGAUUCCCUCCUGGACCUGCGGGAUUUCUCUCCUCCACGUCUCUUCCACACCUCCUCCCGAACCCUCUAUCCCGCCAGAGGUGGAGUGUGACGGGCGCAGAUGGCGGCCACAAAAGCGCGCGGCUGAGGACGGCGCCGAACGGCGGGCAUUAUCGUCGGAUCUUCCCGGCCAACCCCGCUCCUCUGCGAGCACCUGGCCGCCCCGGCUGCCUCCAGCGCCUAGCGGCACUCCGCCUCCACUGCUCCACCACUUCCUGGCCGCGCCCGAGCCCCCGCUGCUCCGCCAGCGCAUGGCCACCCCGGCUUUGAGCUUUGGCGGCGUGUCCCAAGUCCCCACCAUUAGCGGACAGGGCGAUGACAAGGGCCGUCGGUAGUGCACGUGGGGAGGCGUAGAACGGAGGGGCGAGCUGCUAGGUACGCUGGACACGCCGCAAAAGCUGGGUACGCGAUACACACUUCCGUUGCCAGGGACGUGGAUAGCUGCUAGGUAUGCUGGUGCUGCUGUUGCCGGUCUGAUGUCGUUGCCGGGAUAGUUGCAGAUAGGUUGAAUCUGCGGAGCAACACAAUGAAGGGUGGUGACAGGGGAGUAGGCGCGUGGCUGGGAGCAAGCCGGUGGGGCCCGUGGCAGAUGCCUGCGGCGGGUGAGCAGUCGGCGCGGAUAAUAGCAACCAUGCAGCAUCAGGUUCCCCAGUGGGAUGAUAUGCAACGGAGGUCAGGAUAUCAGAUAUAUGCAUGAUGUUACUUGUUUUGGACAAAAAUCAUGGUAUUUCGUUGGUUUUCUGAUAAGAGAAAUCACAUGCCUUCCAAGUUCUAGCUUUCCGUGCAGGUAACAUCGCUAGCUUCUGCCAUAUAUUGGACCAGUGAAAGUCUCUGUGCUCACAACGUGUUCGACGAAAUAACAAUGGUGUUGUGCUUUUGAGGUCAGUCUCCAAAAGGGAGCAUCUGCAGGCAUGUAAGUUGCCGGACGCGGCGCUCUCCACAUGCAGGAGGAUUUAUGGAAGAGGAAAACAUGCAUGGGAAGGGGCAGAGGUGGUUCUGCAUCGCCUCCAGCAGCACCAUAUUCAAGGAAUUCGUACAGCAGUGUUACCUCUUGCCUUCCAGUUUGCUUUCAUGGUUAAACUCAUGUUUAAAUAUAUGGACGUGUCCUUUUGAAUAUGUAAAUGUUACAUCUCUGAUAAUUUGCAUGGUAUAUCUAACCAUUCUGCCCUUUCUUUAUUAUUUAGCGAAGGUAAGAUGAAAUUUACCUGUGUGUAGUGUAACAUGUUAUGUAGGUAGACCAGACAUUCAGAUUUGAAAACUGUUUGGCCAUGGCCAUACAUUUAGCUGCUUGGAGUAUAUUACCUGCACAGGUUCCUUAGUUACAUGGUUCCCAACUUCCCAUUAUGUAUGGCAAAAGAUCUUCACAUUGACUAACGAUGUUUAAAUACAUAAGAGAACAUUCAUAUGCUGUUUUCCUACAAAUCUAACUAUGAACCCCAGAAGUGAAUGUAUGAUCAUUUCUUAUUAAAUCAUUGAAGUGCUUGCUUUUCUCUCUGAUUUUCUUUGUGUGACAUAUAUAGAGUCGUCUUAUAGUUAUAUUUGGCCUGAAACAAAAUAAUGUCCAUUCACUCCAAACGACCAAACCUACAAUUUUUGUUAGUGGAAUUUUAUGUUUGUCACAGUCGAUACUAAGACAUACUUGCAUCAAACAUAUCAUUUUUAUAUAAGGAUAUGCGCAACAAACAAUGUGUUGCAAUCAUUUUUCUAUAUAUAGUCAGCACUGAGACACAACAUGUGUACUCUCUUUGAAAGCAGGUGAACCAGCUGGAUCUCUUUGUCAACGACUUUAAUGGGGAUGAGGUCAGGGCUGGAGCUGCAUUUCCACUGCUCUCUCCAGCUCACAGCUGGUUAUGCAUGCUUUACCUUAUAUCUGCCCAGAUUUCAUGCACUUUUCUCACGGUAUAAUAAAGAAACGCACCAUCAUGGAAGAUGGCGGCUCAAGUUCUUUCUACACAUGCAUGAUUACUAUUCUUCGAGAAAAAAGGAACUGCUACUCACCCGCAAUCGAGGUUUAUGCUAAAGCAUGAGUAAACCUAUAGAAAAUGUUCAUGCCUACAAGGUCAAAAAAGACGAUUGCUGAUGCAGCUUAUUGCCCGCAUAUAUUGAUAGAUUUUUAGUUAUCUUACCUCUUCUUCUAUAAGAAUAGAUCACUAAUGCUAAUGCAGCUUAUUACGAUCUUGUGUUGUUGUAGUAUUUUCCCCUUAUGCAGUAGGUGUCUCGCAAGCUUAUUGUAUGGCAAAUAAUGUGUGAGGUUUCAGAUUCAGUAAAUUUAUUUCUGCUGCAUCA
This 2336-nucleotide ribosomal RNA is filed under the name Triticum aestivum (bread wheat). RNAcentral's name for it is "partial small subunit ribosomal RNA". Lineage: Eukaryota; Viridiplantae; Streptophyta; Magnoliopsida; Poales; Poaceae. The record is from RNAcentral.